This 83-nucleotide transfer RNA is filed under the name Tepidanaerobacter acetatoxydans Re1. It matches the Rfam family "tRNA". From Rfam's summary of the family: Transfer RNA (tRNA) molecules are approximately 80 nucleotides in length. Their secondary structure includes four short double-helical elements and three loops (D, anti-codon, and T loops). The record is from Rfam by way of RNAcentral. Lineage: Bacteria; Bacillati; Bacillota; Clostridia; Thermosediminibacterales; Tepidanaerobacteraceae.
GCGGGCAUGGCGGAACUGGCAGACGCGCCAGACUUAGGAUCUGGUGGAUUAAUCCCAUGGAGGUUCAAAUCCUCUUGCCCGCA